GCUGUUGUUAGAGCAAUUGACUGCAGAUCAAUAGGUCACCGGUUCGAACCCGGU
Non-coding RNA from Triticum aestivum (bread wheat), 54 nucleotides. The record is from Rfam. NCBI's taxonomy places the organism in Eukaryota, Viridiplantae, Streptophyta, Magnoliopsida, Poales, Poaceae.